Molecule: ribosomal RNA, 449 nt
Filed under: uncultured bacterium
Lineage: Bacteria
Description: partial 16S ribosomal RNA
Rfam family: Bacterial small subunit ribosomal RNA
Source: RNAcentral
AGCGAACGCUGGCGGCAGGCCUAACACAUGCAAGUCGAACGGACCCUUCGGGGUUAGUGGCGGACGGGUGAGUAACACGUGGGAACGUGCCUUUAGGUUCGGAAUAGCUCCUGGAAACGGGUGGUAAUGCCGAAUGUGCCCUUCGGGGGAAAGAUUUAUCGCCUUUAGAGCGGACCGCGUCUGAUUAGCUAGUUGGUGAGGUAAUGGCUCACCAAGGCGACGAUCAGUAGCUGGUCUGAGAGGAUGACCAGCCACAUUGGGACUGAGACACGGCCCAAACUCCUACGGGAGGCAGCAGUGGGGAAUCUUGCGCAAUGGGCGAAAGCCUGACGCAGCCAUGCCGCGUGAAUGAUGAAGGUCUUAGGAUUGUAAAAUCCUUUCACCGGUGAAGAUAAUGACUGUAGCCGGAGAAGAAGCCCCGGCUAACUUCGUGCCAGCCGCCGCGGUAA